This is a long non-coding RNA of Pseudoliparis swirei, 864 nucleotides long. RefSeq lists it as uncharacterized. The transcript has 2 exons. NCBI's taxonomy places the organism in Eukaryota, Metazoa, Chordata, Actinopteri, Perciformes, Liparidae. The record is from RefSeq and is a predicted model, not a curated record.
CACCGCGUAUUCGGUCCUAUCAAUCCCCUACAACGUGAAGCAUCGGCUACUUUAGAAAACAUGGCAGGAUGCAAGUUCAACAACGGCUUGAAAAGAACGAGUGUUUCUGGUCACGGUGGGUGAAAUGCUUCUGAAUCUGCGUUAUGUGUCGCGAGACUUUCCAGCGGUGGAAUCUCACGAGCAGAGCAAGAAGCACAGAGACUAGCGAAGGCCGCCAGCAGCCCGCGGGGCUAGCUGCUGCUCCGCCGCGAGCUCCUGCUCCGCCGCCCGCAACGACGUCAACUACAACGCUGGAGGUCACCGGAGGAAAUCCAGCGCCUUGCAACAAAGAGCUCAUCACCGAAGACCAACGCUGCAGUGCGUUCUUCAUUCUGUUCCACGAGACUCUGGACCAGACCACCGCGAGCAGACAGCUGGACUUCAUGUGCGCUAUUGGUUAAAUGACCAGGUCCCGUCAGGAUCCUAUGGAGCUCAUGGGCCAUGACACCAGGACCUACUUCAGCAUCUCAAAGAGAAUGGACCAAAUGUCAACUGGAAAUUUUUAUAUUAAUACAGUUUGAAAAGGAUUGUUUUCCUAGUAUAUUCACAAAAGCUCAGGAGUAGACAUGAACCUGUGCACAAACAUCCAUCACAUAGAGACAUGAGAACUCACACUCACUCACCCACACACACAUACAUUCUAUUAUGUAAAUGAAUUUGCAUUUUAAUAGCAGCUGGAAAUGUUAUUUGUUAUUUUAUGGAUUUUUUUUGUUCAAAAGGAACUAUGUUGCAUGUAUUUUUAAAAUAUAUUUACUUAAUUUUAGAGACAUUUGUUCAUGGGACUUAAAUGUUCUGAAAAUGUAUUAAUAAAUAUAAUUUACAACA